Molecule: long non-coding RNA, 267 nt
Organism: Alnus glutinosa
Lineage: Eukaryota; Viridiplantae; Streptophyta; Magnoliopsida; Fagales; Betulaceae
Exons: 2
Source: RefSeq, a predicted model, not a curated record
GCCGUCUCUCUCUCCCUCUUUCACAAAAUUUUUGGUUUUCCCCCACUUCUACCUCUCAUGGUAGACUGCACGAGGUUAUUAAUAGAAACACCUAGGCGGCCGAGAUGGGAUCUAGGCUAGCAUUAGGACAUUGCAUUUUCGUUACCGUAAUAAGUGCACUUGCACGAUAAAUUUAUUUUCUUUGGAUUUUCAUUUAUUGUAUCAAACAUAAUUACUUUUUCGAAAUCACCGUUUUCGCAUUUAUUAAAGCUCUGAGUUUUAAAAUUU